This 646-nucleotide ribosomal RNA is filed under the name uncultured bacterium. Its description in RNAcentral is "bacterial SSU rRNA". It matches the Rfam family "Bacterial small subunit ribosomal RNA", at positions 344 to 987 of the family's 1533-position model. The record is from RNAcentral.
GGAGGCAGCAGUGGGGAAUAUUGGUCAAUGGGCGCAAGCCUGAACCAGCAAUGCCGCGUGAGUGAUGAAGGCCUUCGGGUUGUAAAGCUCUGUCGGGAGGGACGAAAAAGGCCGGGUCAUUCCGGCACUUGACGGUACCUCCAAAGGAAGCACCGGCUAACUCUGUGCCAGCAGCCGCGGUAAUACAGAGGGUGCAAGCGUUGUUCGGAAUUACUGGGCGUAAAGCGCGUGUAGGCUGCGGCGUAAGUCGGAUGUGAAAGCCCUUGGCUUAACGCCAAGGAAGUGCAUCUGAUACUGCGUCGCUUGAGUGUCGGAGGGAUGGCGGAAUUCCCGGUGUAGAGGUGAAAUUCGUAGAUAUCGGGAGGAACACCUGUGGCGAAGGCGGCCAUCUGGACGAUAACUGACGCUGAGACGCGAAAGCGUGGGUAGCAAACAGGAUUAGAUACCCUGGUAGUCCACGCUGUAAACGAUGAGUGCUAGGCGUCGUGGGUAUUGACCCCUGCGGUGCCGAAGUUAACACGUUAAGCACUCCGCCUGGGGAGUACGGUCGCAAGAUUAAAACUCAAAGGAAUUGACGGGGGCCCGCACAAGCGGUGGAGCAUGUGGUUUAAUUCGACGCCCUYGUAACCUUACCUGGGUUUGAACU